UUCGUAUACGUCGAGGAUACGCAGUCGAUUCUAACGACGAUUCGUUAACCGUUUCGUGUCGAUGCUAAACGUGAGAUCUAGCUGUCGUAUGGCCAACGCCGAGGCCGGUGUUCUCACGGCGGUGCGUCCUGGCGUAAGCGCGGAUCGCCCGAAGUCUCUCGCGUCACGUUGACGUUAAAUGGGGGCGACCUUCGCGCGUGCAUUAGACAAAUAAAAUCUUAAAACUCGGGCGAUCGACAUUUCUAAGCGCUGACUGUGCCGCGAGAACACGGUCCCGCCUAUUUAUUCUUUACAUUUGUAUAUUCAAUGAGUUCGUGCGUAUAUUUAGAGAAUAAUCGAGCGUAUACGGAUAGAUUUCAGAGAGAAGUGUGGUACCUAAUGUUGUGUAAGAGCGAGAGAGAGAGACGAAGGGCUCAGAGCCCGAGUGAUUAGUUAGGUAAUUUACGGGGAAACAUUGUAGUCGAGUGAUAAGAGAGAAAGAAAAGAGAGACGAUCGUGAGAGGGACCUAUUAGAGUUAUAUCAUCGUUGAAUCAUCGCACAUUGCAUACACACACCACGUGCCAUAUCAUCGCAUAUUAUAUAUCAGAGAGACAGAGUUUAAAUACUAUUAAUUUUAAGUCGUAGCUAGAUAUAUACAGUUGUAUACAUAUAUACGGCGUGACGGAAUCACGCGGGUGGAGAUCCGGCAUGUGUACAGCAUUCCUGCCUGUCUGUCUACACGUGGUACGAAGGGGCGAGUGAACGAGGGCAUACGAGAUGAAAAAUCGCGGAACAUUUCAGUACCGAAACGGACGUCCGAGGACAUUUGUCUUGUGAACGUAAUUCAAUUUCAGAAGAUCGGUUCUUUACAGUUGAACUGACUGCACCAGACCGCAUCUUUUUCCUUCUAAUGUGGAGGGAAAAAGAUCAACUCUGAACCAGUGCCACUAUAAAGAACAGGCCUACAGCGGACACCGAAAACCGAAAGAGUAUAAACGCGUGCCUCCCUUGUUCGUUCGCCUCUUCAAAUUCCGUGAGCGAACGCGCGGUAUUCGGUGAAAUGGAAUUCUCGCCGCUACUCGGACAUCGACUGACGUUAUUUACUCGCGAUCACAAUAAUUUCGGCUCGCUCGGUGACUCCGGGGGUCACCGACUUGGCGGAGGAAGGAAGUUUGUUUAGUAACGAAACCGUUGUUCAUUCUAUCGUCAUCGUCAUCGUCAUGAUAGCGAGUCACACUCGCGUCGUCACGUCGACACCGCCGCUGUUCGAAGCGUCUCUGUUCGCCCAACCAUUUACCCUCCGUAAUCGAAUUCUGUUCCUUCUUCGCAUCGACAGUACACACGCACGUGUAAGAUAUUAUCGCAUCUCGAUCGUGUAAUCACAGAAUAUAUUGCACAUACGACUGCACAUAUUAUAUACAUAUUUACAAGUGUGUAUAUACAUUAUAUAUACAUAUACAUGGUCAUGAUCGCGAUCCGUGUUGCUGUCUCGCCCGCUCGAAAUCCAAAGUAAUUCUGACCAUUGUCACUUUCACUUUAUCUUUCCUCGAGCGACUCGAAUCUAUUCUAAAACAUAUCUGAAACUCAGAGAGAAAAAAAAACGUACUUUUCCGCCCACCACACAAAUGAUAUUUUAAGAGUCAUAUUAUAUUACUACACGAAAUGUCCCUCAUGCUAAGCGCGCUUCCUUUAAACUGCAGAUUUCUCAGUCGAUGACUGAGAUUGAUUUUGUCUUUGCGAAAGCAUCGAGGUACCUAGCUCUUGUAAGGAAUUGAAAAUCAAGGAUCACAGAGAUAAAAACUAACAUCCCUUAUGUUCUAUCAUAUUUUUCGGUUAAUCUUAAGUAGCUUCGCUCGGAUAAGAUUUUACUUUGAAAUAUUUACGAAGGUAAACAUGACGUUGCGUGUAUCAAAGGUUUACGAUAUAAAAGACGACACGUUUGCUAAAGGGAGAGAGAGAGAGAUAACUCGAAAUUAAAUAAAAGGUUAUAGAGCACGCGGUCCGGAGAGAUUAUGCUUAAGGAAAGAUAUCUCGUACAAAUACACGGACUGUUCAUUGUUGUGUAUCAUAGACUGUCUAUAUCCGUUUUGCCACAAACGCUUUUUCGAACAUCCGGAAGGAACGUGGGGAGUAUCUCGAGAAGAAAUCCCGAGAGACAGCCACGGUAGCGGUGAGUUUCCGAAUGUCCAUUAUCCCAUCGAGAAAUUACCCCGCCCUUUCCCUACAAAAUUUUCAACGCUCCACAUGUGUCUGCCUCCAUGUGUUACAAUACGCGCUGCGCCGUGUUUCUUCCGACUAUCAUUCUCCUCUUUUAUCUCGCGCGAGUAAACGUAUGCAGAUAAGCGGCUCGGAGCGUGAGCUGGAGCGGCUGAGUGUGUUUCCGCAAUCCAGUCUUUUUUUCUCCUCUUCGACAUAAUUUUGCCCGAGAAAACGCUCUUCGGAUGCCCUUUUUCCUCUUCACUUUUCGGAUACGCUCUUGUCGCGCGGCGUUGCGACCAGGGUGGAGCCUAAAAGCGAAAACAGGAAGCAGACGUGUUCCGAUCUUCUUGGGACAAUUGUACAUAAAGAGUGAAAACUAUUGCUGUGCGAAGCGUCUGAAUUUGUUCCCAUUGCGCUGGCGUAUUAAUAAUAAUGACAGACGGAGACGGAGUUUAGCAACACCCGAUUGCGUUGCGUUGCAUCGUCGUACACACUUCCGCAUUGUAAAUGUUUUAAGAAAGAAAAAGAAUCACGUUGCCUAUGGUAAAGUUGUUCGCAUCGCGAGGAGGAAUCGUAGCGGCUGCAUCUCGCCCGGACGCGAUCCGCGAGGCACUCGGCGGAGCCUCGUCGAUCUCCGAGGGCCGGUUCCAUCAACGUUAUUGAAUUCUCUGUAAUAGCAAGCGAUCGUUCCGUUUUAGAUUAAUUAGUGUAACACGUAGAAUAAUGCGCAUAGUAAUGGACGUAAUUUAGUUAAACGUAAGUGAAGCCUGUUGUUGAAUCAGGUCGGUGGAAUCGGUCCGGGGAUGCGAGGAGCGAGCUUGUAUAAACAAUCCGGCGAGCCGGGCAGCCGCUACCGUGCCUCUAGCGAGUCUGUAAAGUAUCGAAGAUUUCGACGUCCUAAGAGCAAAGUAUAAACGAGUCACACGUUCGAUAUGACAAUUCUUAAUUUCGCUUUUUCCCCCUCUCCUCACCCGUGGUCCGUUCGCGCACGUUUUCUCGUUCCUCGUUUUGCGAUCAACGUACCAUAUCCGAAGGGUGCUCUUAAAAUGGUGUUAGCGAGAAGGGAAAGUGAAAGUGAGAAAUUUGUGGGAUGUACUUAAGGCGGUGCGUUACCGUCGAGCGAGGGGUAGAAAAGAAAAAGGGAUUGGCUUUCUUAUUGGGAUAAGCUGCCUCAGGGGGAAGGUAAAUCCAGGGACUCUUAAUAAACUUAUCCGAAACUA
Vollenhovia emeryi is the source of this 3399-nucleotide long non-coding RNA. RefSeq lists it as uncharacterized. Lineage: Eukaryota; Metazoa; Arthropoda; Insecta; Hymenoptera; Formicidae. The transcript has 2 exons. The record is from RefSeq and is a predicted model, not a curated record.